Paxillus rubicundulus Ve08.2h10 is the source of this 83-nucleotide non-coding RNA. NCBI's taxonomy places the organism in Eukaryota, Fungi, Basidiomycota, Agaricomycetes, Boletales, Paxillaceae. The record is from Rfam.
GCCGGGAUAGCUCAGCUGGGAGAGCAACAGACUGAAGUUCCCACGGAUUCUGGAGGUCCCGUGUUCAAUCCACGGUCCUGGCA